CCUACGGGAGGCAGCAGUGGGGAAUUUUGGACAAUGGACGCAAGUCUGAUCCAGCCAUGCCGCGUGCGGGAAGAAGGCCUUCGGGUUGUAAACCGCUUUUGUCAGGGAAGAAACGAGUUUCUCUAAUACAGAGACUUAAUGACGGUACCUGAAGAAUAAGCACCGGCUAACUACGUGCCAGCAGCCGCGGUAAUACGUAGGGUGCAAGCGUUAAUCGGAAUUACUGGGCGUAAAGCGUGCGCAGGCGGUUAUGCAAGACAGAUGUGAAAUCCCCGGGCUCAACCUGGGAACUGCAUUUGUGACUGCAUGGCUAGAGUACGGUAGAGGGGGAUGGAAUUCCGCGUGUAGCAGUGAAAUGCGUAGAUAUGCGGAGGAACACCGAUGGCGAAGGCAAUCCCCUGGACCUGUACUGACGCUCAUGCACGAAAGCGUGGGGAGCAAACAGGAUUAGAUACCCUGGUAGUCCACGCCCUAAACGAUGUCAACUGGUUGUUGGGAGGGUUUCUUNUCAGUAACGAAGCUAACGCGUGAAGUUGACCGCCUGGGGAGUACGGCCGCAAGGUUGAAACUUAAGGAAUUGACGG
This 584-nucleotide ribosomal RNA is filed under the name uncultured bacterium. RNAcentral describes it as "bacterial SSU rRNA". It matches the Rfam family "Bacterial small subunit ribosomal RNA", at positions 338 to 916 of the family's 1533-position model. The record is from RNAcentral.